This is a long non-coding RNA of Dendrobium catenatum, 420 nucleotides long. RefSeq lists it as uncharacterized. Lineage: Eukaryota; Viridiplantae; Streptophyta; Magnoliopsida; Asparagales; Orchidaceae. The transcript is spliced from 3 exons. The record is from RefSeq and is a predicted model, not a curated record.
AGCCGUGGCAAAGGACUCGGUGAAGAUUCUGCGUUGAUGAUGAUGGCAUUUGCUGUUAACAAAUAUAAAAUUCAGACCUUCCGAGCUAAAAUUGGCGAAUCAAACAUUGCUUCACUUAAGCUCUUCCAUAAGCUGGGUUUUAAAGAUGUUUCUUACAGUGAAGCCUUUAAGGAGGUUACACUUGAGUUGCGAGUGACGGACCGUUCAUUUGUAGAUUUGAUAGCCUAACUGGUGAAUGUUUCUAACCCUGCUGCAUUAACAAGUAUUUACUUCUGAACCUUCCUUUCUUCCUCGUUAACCAUUUUUAUUUAACACCGUUAACAGGGUUUUACUAUUGCAGAUGAUGUAAUAUUUAUAAUAAUGAUGGAAUAUAAAAUAUAAAUAUGUUAUAAAAAUUUAUUCAAUGCUAUUUCUUAUUUU